UAGGGAAUCUUCGGCAAUGGGGGGAACCCUGACCGAGCAACGCCGCGUGAGUGAAGAAGGUUUUCGGAUCGUAAAGCUCUGUUGUUAAGGAAGAACGAGUGUGAGAAUGGAAAGUUCAUACCGUGACGGUACUUAACCAGAAAGGGACGGCUAACUACGUGCCAGCAGCCGCGGUAAUACGUAGGUCCCGAGCGUUGUCCGGAUUUAUUGGGCGUAAAGCGAGCGCAGGCGGUUAGAUAAGUCUGAAGUUAAAGGCAGUGGCUCAACCAUUGUAGGCUUUGGAAACUGUUUAACUUGAGUGCAGAAGGGGAGAGUGGAAUUCCAUGUGUAGCGGUGAAAUGCGUAGAUAUAUGGAGGAACACCGGUGGCGAAAGCGGCUCUCUGGUCUGUAACUGACGCUGAGGCUCGAAAGCGUGGGGAGCGAACAGG
RNAcentral lists this ribosomal RNA (429 nucleotides) under Bacteroidota bacterium. Its description in RNAcentral is "Bacteroidetes bacterium partial 16S ribosomal RNA". It matches the Rfam family "Bacterial small subunit ribosomal RNA", at positions 355 to 776 of the family's 1533-position model. Lineage: Bacteria; Pseudomonadati; Bacteroidota. The record is from RNAcentral.